This is a long non-coding RNA of Mauremys reevesii (Reeves's turtle), 994 nucleotides long. RefSeq lists it as uncharacterized. The record is from RefSeq and is a predicted model, not a curated record. Lineage: Eukaryota; Metazoa; Chordata; Testudines; Geoemydidae. The transcript is spliced from 5 exons.
GAGAAGGGACUGGAUUUCUGAAGGGCUGAUGGAACUACUAGCACCCUGGACAGAGCAGUGCUGGGUCUGGUCAGGGGAGUGAGAGGGAGCUCUAACCAGAUUGGCUGAAAGACUGAAGCCCUGAUAUAGGGUUGAGAAGCCCCAGAAACUUGAGUUCUAUGAUUAUACGGGCAUUUCAGCUUUCAUUUUUAAGCCUGGAAGCAGAGGAUAAAAUUGUGACCUGGCCACAGGGCUGAAUACAGGCAGAGAGAUCACUGCAGUGACUGAGGGGCCAUCAGCCAUAGGGUGAAAUAUGCUAUACCAUGCCUGGCCAUGAGGAGAUGUUCCUGAGUUACAAACAGGAAUCACAUUACUGGCUGCUGAAAAACAAACAGAUCUGGGGUGGAAAGCAACAUCCAGUGCACAGCACACUUCACCACAGUGAGAAGAGAAAUUUUGGCCAAUGAAACAGUGCAUAGAAAAGCUAUGGAGUGUGGAACAGAGGAAAUUCUCAGGUUUUUCAGAUGCCCAGUGCAGUCAAUACAUUGGAACGUGUGACUUGUAACAAUUCCCAGAACUCUUCUGCUGAUCUAAUUUUACCCAACAUCAAGGAUUAUCUUGAAAUUACAAGACUUGGCCUGAAUGCAAAAGGUGACUAUUGAGCUGAUUUUUAAAAUGCUGUAGAGUAAGUAAUAGGCAUGACUGUGUGGAUACACAACUGAAAAUAUAGGUUUGAACCCCAUUGUCUCAAUUCAAUGAGAUUUAGAGCAUUUACAGUCUUUCUUUUUUAAGAGUAUAAAAAUAAGAAGUUGAGUCAGUAAGCAGUAACUACAAGAAGCCCACAAAACCACUAUUACUAUUAUUUUAUUAAAAUCUGAUAAGGCAAAUUCACUGCCCCACUCCAAUCCUGUUGCACUGCUCUGGGACUAAGAGCACUCAGAGCACCCAAGAUGGGGAGUCCCACACUGUGAGAGAGUCUCCGGGGGUGGGGAGGAAGAGAGAAGAGUCAGUGCGA